RNAcentral lists this ribosomal RNA (476 nucleotides) under uncultured bacterium. Its description in RNAcentral is "bacterial SSU rRNA". It matches the Rfam family "Bacterial small subunit ribosomal RNA", at positions 30 to 506 of the family's 1533-position model. The record is from RNAcentral.
UUGAACGCUGGCGGUAUGCUUAACACAUGCAAGUCGAACGGAAGUAAAGGGGCAACUCUUUACUUUAGUGGCGGACGGGUGAGGAAUACGUAGGAAUCUACCUUAAAGUGGGGGAUAACCCGGGGAAACUCGGGCUAAUACCGCAUAUGCUCUACGGAGUAAAGGGGGCGCAAGCUCUCGCUAUAAGAUGAGCCUACGUCGGAUUAGCUAGUUGGUGGGGUAAAGGCCUACCAAGGCAACGAUCCGUAGCUGGUCUGAGAGGAUGAUCAGCCACACUGGGACUGAGAUACGGCCCAGACUCCUACGGGAGGCAGCAGUGGGGAAUAUUGGACAAUGGGCGCAAGCCUGAUCCAGCAAUACCGUGUGUGUGAAGAAGGCCUUCGGGUUGUAAAGCACUUUCAGUAGGGAAGAAAAGUUUAGGGUUAAUACCCCUGAACCUUGACGUUACCUACAGAAGAAGCACCGGCUAACUCUGU